GACGAAGGGGGCUAGCGUUGUUCGGAAUUACUGGGCGUAAAGCGCGUGUAGGCGGUUUCCCAAGUCGGGGGUGAAAGCCUUGAGCUCAACUCAAGAAAUGCACUCGGUACUGGGUGACUAGAGGACCGGAGAGGAUAGUGGAAUUCCCAGUGUAGUGGUGAAAUACGUAGAGAUUGGGAAGAACACCAGUGGCGAAGGCGGCUAUCUGGACGGUUUCUGACGCUAAGACGCGAAAGCGUGGGGAGCAAACAGG
RNAcentral lists this ribosomal RNA (253 nucleotides) under uncultured bacterium. Its description in RNAcentral is "partial 16S ribosomal RNA". It matches the Rfam family "Bacterial small subunit ribosomal RNA", at positions 524 to 776 of the family's 1533-position model. The record is from RNAcentral.